RNAcentral lists this transfer RNA (66 nucleotides) under chicken gut metagenome. It matches the Rfam family "tRNA". Rfam says of the family: Transfer RNA (tRNA) molecules are approximately 80 nucleotides in length. Their secondary structure includes four short double-helical elements and three loops (D, anti-codon, and T loops). The record is from RNAcentral.
ACUGUGGCUCAGUCGGUAGAGCAAUCGAUUCGUAAUCGAUAGGUCGCGGGUUCGAUUCCCGCCAGU